UAGGGAAUCUUCCGCAAUGGGCGAAAGCUUGACGGAGCAACGCCGCGUGAGUGAUGAAGGUCUUCGGAUCGUAAAACUCUGUUAUUAGGGAAGAACAAAUGUGUAAGUAACUAUGCACGUCUUGACGGUACCUAAUCAGAAAGCCACGGCUAACUACGUGCCAGCAGCCGCGGUAAUACGUAGGUGGCAAGCGUUAUCCGGAAUUAUUGGGCGUAAAGCGCGCGUAGGCGGUUUUUUAAGUCUGAUGUGAAAGCCCACGGCUCAACCGUGGAGGGUCAUUGGAAACUGGAAAACUUGAGUGCAGAAGAGGAAAGUGGAAUUCCAUGUGUAGCGGUGAAAUGAGCAGAGAUAUGGAGGAACACCAGUGGCGAAGGCGACUUUCUGGUCUGUAACUGACGCUGAUGUGCGAAAGCGUGGGGAUCAAACAGG
This 429-nucleotide ribosomal RNA is filed under the name Actinomycetes bacterium. Its description in RNAcentral is "Actinobacteria bacterium partial 16S ribosomal RNA". It matches the Rfam family "Bacterial small subunit ribosomal RNA", at positions 355 to 776 of the family's 1533-position model. The record is from RNAcentral. Lineage: Bacteria; Bacillati; Actinomycetota; Actinomycetes.